Molecule: ribosomal RNA, 466 nt
Filed under: uncultured Klebsiella sp.
Lineage: Bacteria; Pseudomonadati; Pseudomonadota; Gammaproteobacteria; Enterobacterales; Enterobacteriaceae
Description: bacterial SSU rRNA
Rfam family: Bacterial small subunit ribosomal RNA
Source: RNAcentral
CCUACGGGAGGCAGCAGUGGGGAAUAUUGCACAAUGGGCGCAAGCCUGAUGCAGCCAUGCCGCGUGUGUGAAGAAGGCCUUCGGGUUGUAAAGCACUUUCAGCGGGGAGGAAGGCGUUAAGGUUAAUAACCUUGGCGAUUGACGUUACCCGCAGAAGAAGCACCGGCUACACUCCGUGCCAGCAGCCGCGGUAAUACGGAGGGUGCAAGCGUUAAUCGGAAUUACUGGGCGUAAAGCGCACGCAGGCGGUCUGUCAAGUCGGAUGUGAAAUCCCCGGGCUCAACCUGGGAACUGCAUUCGAAACUGGCAGGCUAGAGUCUUGUAGAGGGGGGUAGAAUUCCAGGUGUAGCGGUGAAAUGCGUAGAGAUCUGGAGGAAUACCGGUGGCGAAGGCGGCCCCCUGGACAAAGACUGACGCUCAGGUGCGAAAGCGUGGGGAGCAAACAGGAUUAGAUACCCUUGUAGUC